Molecule: ribosomal RNA, 998 nt
Filed under: uncultured Corynebacterium sp.
Lineage: Bacteria; Bacillati; Actinomycetota; Actinomycetes; Mycobacteriales; Corynebacteriaceae
Description: bacterial SSU rRNA
Rfam family: Bacterial small subunit ribosomal RNA
Source: RNAcentral
AGACUCCUACGGGAGGCAGCAGUGGGGAAUAUUGCACAAUGGGCGCAAGCCUGAUGCAGCGACGCCGCGUGGGGGAUGAAGGCCUUCGGGUUGUAAACUCCUUUCGCUAGGGACGAAGCUUUUGUGACGGUACCUAGAUAAGAAGCACCGGCUAACUACGUGCCAGCAGCCGCGGUAAUACGUAGGGUGCGAGCGUUGUCCGGAAUUACUGGGCGUAAAGGGCUCGUAGGUGGUUUGUCGCGUCGUCUGUGAAAUUCUGGGGCUUAACUCCGGGCGUGCAGGCGAUACGGGCAUAACUUGAGUGCUGUAGGGGUAACUGGAAUUCCUGGUGUAGCGGUGAAAUGCGCAGAUAUCAGGAGGAACACCGAUGGCGAAGGCAGGUUACUGGGCAGUUACUGACGCUGAGGAGCGAAAGCAUGGGUAGCGAACAGGAUUAGAUACCCUGGUAGUCCAUGCUGUAAACGGUGGGCGCUAGGUGUGAGGGUUUUUCUACGAUUCUCGUGCCGUAGCUAACGCAUUAAGCGCCCCGCCUGGGGAGUACGGCCGCAAGGCUAAAACUCAAAGGAAUUGACGGGGGCCCGCACAAGCGGCGGAGCAUGUGGAUUAAUUCGAUGCAACGCGAAGAACCUUACCUGGGCUUGACAUACACGAGAUCGCUGCAGAGAUGUAGUUUCCCUUUUGUGGUUGGUGUACAGGUGGUGCAUGGUUGUCGUCAGCUCGUGUCGUGAGAUGUUGGGUUAAGUCCCGCAACGAGCGCAACCCUUGUCUUAUGUUGCCAGCAUUUGGUUGGGGACUCAUGAGAGACUGCCGGGGUUAACUCGGAGGAAGGUGGGGAUGACGUCAAAUCAUCAUGCCCCUUAUGUCCAGGGCUUCACACAUGCUACAAUGGUCGGUACAACGCGUUGCGACACUGUGAGGUGGAGCGAAUCGCUGAAAGCCGGUCUUAGUUCGGAUUGGGGUCUGCAACUCGACCCCAUGAAGUCGGAGUCGCUAGUAAU